CGAGGGGCCCAGGCGCGCGGGCUGGCCGCGCGCGUGGGGCCGAGUGGCCGAGACGCGCGGGGCCGAGAAGCCGAGACCGACCCCAGAAGUCACUGCUGCUGCUGGUGUAGGUCGGCUGCAGUGGAGCAACCAAGGAGAAAGCUAACGUACCGUCAUUUCGGGCCCUCCUUCUAGCGCCAUUAUGUUACGGUAAGUAACUUUUUUAGCCGUGGCCUCGGGGCCGACGCG
Molecule: long non-coding RNA, 228 nt
Filed under: Musa acuminata (dwarf banana)
Lineage: Eukaryota; Viridiplantae; Streptophyta; Magnoliopsida; Zingiberales; Musaceae
Description: long non-coding RNA (MACU_LNC005727)
Source: RNAcentral